ACGUAGGGUGCGAGCGUUAAUCGGAAUUACUGGGCGUAAAGCGUGCGCAGGCGGUUCGUUAAGUCUGAUGUGAAAGCCCCGGGCUCAACCUGGGAAUGGCAUUGGAAACUGGCGAGCUGGAGUAUGGCAGAGGGGGGUGGAAUUCCACGUGUAGCAGUGAAAUGCGUAGAGAUGUGGAGGAACACCGAUGGCGAAGGCAGCCCCCUGGGCCAAUACUGACGCUCAGGCACGAAAGCGUGGGGAGCAAACAGGAUUAGAUACCCUGGUAGUCCACGCCCUAAACGAUGAUCACUAGGUGUUGGGGGAGCGAUUCCUUGGUACCGUAGCUAACGCGUGAAGUGAUCCGCCUGGGGAGUACGGUCGCAAGAUUA
This 371-nucleotide ribosomal RNA is filed under the name uncultured bacterium. Its description in RNAcentral is "bacterial SSU rRNA". It matches the Rfam family "Bacterial small subunit ribosomal RNA", at positions 525 to 896 of the family's 1533-position model. The record is from RNAcentral.